Long non-coding RNA from Ostrea edulis (European flat oyster), 5892 nucleotides. RefSeq lists it as uncharacterized. The record is from RefSeq and is a predicted model, not a curated record. NCBI's taxonomy places the organism in Eukaryota, Metazoa, Mollusca, Bivalvia, Ostreida, Ostreidae. The transcript is spliced from 3 exons.
UGUGUGUCUGUCUGUCUGUGUGUGUGUUUGUCUGUGUGUGUGUUUGUCUGUCUGUAUAUGUAUGUGUGUGUGUUUGUCUGUCUGUAUAUGUAUGUUUGUCUGUGUAUACCCGUUCUAUGUGUGUGUUUAUCAGUGUGUGUCUGUCUGUGUGUGUUUGUCUAUGUAUGUGUUGUGUGUAUCUGUCUGUGUGUCUGUCAGGUAGUCAUAGAGAAACAGAUAAAGCUUCAGAAUAUAAAUUUCAAUUUUAUUGAAUUCACUGUAUAUUGCAUAAGGAUCACUAACAUAGGUGUGAUACACUGUACAUCUAGUGGAGUACACCGACUUUUCAGAAACUUUUUGAUAUGUCAUCCAUACGCAUCCUGGCAUGAAACUGCUUCGCUUCUGUUUGUCUAUUUGAAUUACACCAGUGGAUCUACAUAGGCUAGCUUAACUAUGACAUCAUAAUAUAACACGUAAUGUGAUGUCAUAAUAGAGUAAUGACAUCAGAUUUUUUUUUUUUUUUUUUUUUUCUUGGCUAGAGUUAUCUUCCUUGACAAAUAUUCUUCUUCAUACAAAGGUGUCUUAUUUUGACUUAUGUUUAUUAGAUAAAAGCAUGAUAUCAGGGUAAUUUAUUAAAGAUGUGACGGUUUAGACGAACCAAUUUUUAGGGCAAAUUUCUCAUUGAAAUAAGUUUUUUUGAACUUGAAAAAACAGAAAACAGACUCUCCAGGAUUGCUCAAGUUAACAUCCUUACUGGCCAUUUCAGGGUUUUUUUCUCUACAAUUCCUUUUAUUUCACAUCAAAUUUCCUUAAAAUACAAUUCUAGUCUUUAUUUGGAAUCAAAAUCGCAUGUAUUUCACUCAGUUCUGGGUCUUUUAUUCUAUUUUCAACUUUACCAAGGGGAAGAACUCUGCUGGAAACAGUGAUGUGAAGAGGGCAGUUUUUGUUCACUCAUUUCAAGAUAUAAUGAACAAUAACUCCCCAUGUAUGAUACAUCAUUUUACUCGGAAAAACUUAAAUUUUUAAACAGUAUAGGUAUUUCAUGAUGUCGUAGAAUUUCCGCAGUCUUUAAAGUCUCAAUAUACCUGGCGAAUUGCCAAUACGAAGCUAAAGUGACCAGGGUUAAAAUGUAAAUAUGUUAAAAGAGUAUUUUAUAGAAUUUAAAUAGUUUCAUUGUUAUUGAUAUCUGUAUUAAUAUAGGGAGGUGACCAUUCUACAUUGAUCCAGUGCCUUUUUAUGGGAUUCGAAACUGUGACUGUGAGAUGUAUGAGAGUUUGACUUCUAGGCGGGCAAUUCUACUUUCACUUUAAACGGUAAGUUGAAAAGAGCAUGCUGCAUCUUUGAUGUAAAAUAUCUCGAAAAGGAAUCAAGGACCCUAUUGCAAAUUUGGCCUUGUUGGAAAGGUUAGGAAUUUUGCUGAAAGUUGAUAUCUGUCAUUAUACUGGGGAAAUUUUUUUUUUUUGAAUUAGGAGGGGUUGAAAAUGGGUAUAUUUUCCUCAUUUUUGUUGCUUUUUUACUUCCAGGAUGGCAGGUGCCUGAGUGUAUCUCGACCCAUUUCCAGGCUAGCAUCAGAUGUCAUGAUGGACCUUUAAAAUCUUUCACAUGUGUGCUUUCAAGAACCAUAUACAUUAUUUUUGAAAAUUGGUUGCCAUGGUAAUAAAAUCUGAAAAUUAACACAUGGACUUCUGAAGGCGAAUUUUCCUCCAUUUCCUGGUAGUUUGUGACCUUAAGCACAAAUCAGCUUGAAACUUGAAUUUUCCAGGCAAGAAUUUUUUUGUUUAUUGUGUUUAAAUAUGAUGUUUAUGCUUUAAAUAUGAGGUUUAUACUUAAUAUUAUUGAUUUCAUUGAAAUUGAAGGUCAUCGAUUAGUAAAUAUGUCAGAAGUAUUCUUAGCAAUUGGUCGAGUGUGAGUGCAAGAAAUUUCUCCUCAGCCAUAAAUUUUCUAUGAAAGUUUUUUGCAAUGCUAAUGAUGGAUAGAUGUGUGUGUGUGUGUCUGUCUGUCUGUCUGUCUGUCUGUCUGUCUGUGUGUGUGUGUCUGUCAAUCAGUGAGUGAGUGAGUGUGUGUGUCUGUCUGUCUGUCUGUGUGCGUGUCUUUCUGUGUGCAUAUGUGUGUGCGUGCGCGCGCAUGCAUGUGUACGUGUCUGUCUGUGUAUGUGUUUGUCUGUGUGACUGACUAUGUGUUUGUGUGUCUGUCUGUCUGUGUGUGUGUUUGUCUGUGUGUGUGUUUGUCUGUCUGUAUAUGUAUGUGUGUGUGUUUGUCUGUCUGUAUAUGUAUGUUUGUCUGUGUAUACCCGUUCUAUGUGUGUGUUUAUCAGUGUGUGUCUGUCUGUGUGUGUUUGUCUAUGUAUGUGUUGUGUGUAUCUGUCUGUGUGUCUGUCAGGUAGUCAUAGAGAAACAGAUAAAGCUUCAGAAUAUAAAUUUCAAUUUUAUUGAAUUCACUGUAUAUUGCAUAAGGAUCACUAACAUAGGUGUGAUACACUGUACAUCUAGUGGAGUACACCGACUUUUCAGAAACUUUUUGAUAUGUCAUCCAUACGCAUCCUGGCAUGAAACUGCUUCGCUUCUGUUUGUCUAUUUGAAUUACACCAGUGGAUCUACAUAGGCUAGCUUAACUAUGACAUCAUAAUAUAACACGUAAUGUGAUGUCAUAAUAGAGUAAUGACAUCAGAUUUUUUUUUUUUUUUUUUUUUCUUGGCUAGAGUUAUCUUCCUUGACAAAUAUUCUUCUUCAUACAAAGGUGUCUUAUUUUGACUUAUGUUUAUUAGAUAAAAGCAUGAUAUCAGGGUAAUUUAUUAAAGAUGUGACGGUUUAGACGAACCAAUUUUUAGGGCAAAUUUCUCAUUGAAAUAAGUUUUUUUGAACUUGAAAAAACAGAAAACAGACUCUCCAGGAUUGCUCAAGUUAACAUCCUUACUGGCCAUUUCAGGGUUUUUUUCUCUACAAUUCCUUUUAUUUCACAUCAAAUUUCCUUAAAAUACAAUUCUAGUCUUUAUUUGGAAUCAAAAUCGCAUGUAUUUCACUCAGUUCUGGGUCUUUUAUUCUAUUUUCAACUUUACCAAGGGGAAGAACUCUGCUGGAAACAGUGAUGUGAAGAGGGCAGUUUUUGUUCACUCAUUUCAAGAUAUAAUGAACAAUAACUCCCCAUGUAUGAUACAUCAUUUUACUCGGAAAAACUUAAAUUUUUAAACAGUAUAGGUAUUUCAUGAUGUCGUAGAAUUUCCGCAGUCUUUAAAGUCUCAAUAUACCUGGCGAAUUGCCAAUACGAAGCUAAAGUGACCAGGGUUAAAAUGUAAAUAUGUUAAAAGAGUAUUUUAUAGAAUUUAAAUAGUUUCAUUGUUAUUGAUAUCUGUAUUAAUAUAGGGAGGUGACCAUUCUACAUUGAUCCAGUGCCUUUUUAUGGGAUUCGAAACUGUGACUGUGAGAUGUAUGAGAGUUUGACUUCUAGGCGGGCAAUUCUACUUUCACUUUAAACGGUAAGUUGAAAAGAGCAUGCUGCAUCUUUGAUGUAAAAUAUCUCGAAAAGGAAUCAAGGACCCUAUUGCAAAUUUGGCCUUGUUGGAAAGGUUAGGAAUUUUGCUGAAAGUUGAUAUCUGUCAUUAUACUGGGGAAAUUUUUUUUUUUUGAAUUAGGAGGGGUUGAAAAUGGGUAUAUUUUCCUCAUUUUUGUUGCUUUUUUACUUCCAGGAUGGCAGGUGCCUGAGUGUAUCUCGACCCAUUUCCAGGCUAGCAUCAGAUGUCAUGAUGGACCUUUAAAAUCUUUCACAUGUGUGCUUUCAAGAACCAUAUACAUUAUUUUUGAAAAUUGGUUGCCAUGGGUUUUCGAAAAUGGACAGACUAAACUUCAACAGACACAGGAGGAUUCGACAGUAGUGCCAACAGAUAACAGUGUUGUGUCAGAAGAUUGUCAACCUGGAAAAGAAUCAGUAGAAUCCAAUGAUAUAAACAGUCUUGAUGUAUUAGCUAUGGCUGCUGAGAAGAGGAAGUUGGAAGAAGUCAUAAUAACUCUCCGAGAAGAAAACGACAAAUUGAAGUGUGAACAAAUGCAUUUACAAGACAGUUUAAGCAAUAAGUCGAGUAUGAGAUAUGAUAACUUAAAAACAGAGGAAUUUAAGUAUUAUACAGGAUUUUCAUCAGCAACAUUUAAUGUUAUAUACCAGUUUUUAGUUCCUGUGGAUGAGCCAUUUGAGUACUCGAAAAAUGUCAGUAGUCUAUGAAUUCUUAGUAUGAAGGAUCAACUGUUAUUUGUUUUAAUCAAAUUACGACAAAAUUUUGACUUUAAACAUAUGUCUCGGCUGUUUCGAAUUUCACCUCAAGACUGCAGUGUUAUUUUUAGUAACAGGAUAAAUUUCAUGUUUUACCGCUUUGGAUCAGUGCCUGUUUGGCCAGACAGAAGUAUUAUUAUAGACAAAAUGCCACAAAAAUUUAAAGAAGAAUUCCCUACUACUCUUGUCAUCAUUGAUGGUGCUAAGAUGAAAAUUCAAAGGCCUAGUUCGUUAACAAAACAGAGUCAGUUUUACUCUGACUAUAAAUCCAGUACAACUUUCAAGGGUUUAGUUGGUAUUGAUCCUAGAGGAUCUAUUAUAUUUGCCUCAAUGCUAUUUUCAGGCUCAAUUUCUGACAAUGACAUUACCCAUCAGAGUAGAUUUUUCAAGAAAUGAUUAAAGAAGGUAAAAUACAUGAAGGAGAUGGGGUAAUGGCUGAUAAAGGUUUUCAUAUAGAAAAUGACCUUGAAAAGAUAGGGCUUUAGUUAAAUAUACCACCCUUUGCUCCUGCUUCAGGCCAGAUGAAACAUCUGAUGUGAAAAUGACAGAAAAAGUUGCUAUUCAUAGGGUGCAUGUAGAAAGAGCUAUUGCUAGAGUAAAGAAGUUUAAAAUAAUGGACAACAGAAUCGACCUUAGUUUAUUUAGUGCGAUAAAUCAAAUCUGGUUUGUUUGUUGCUUUUUAACAAAUUCCAUGGCUUUCCUUAUCCAGGAUUGAAUAUAUGUAGAUUUCCUUACAUGAUAUGAUAAUGCUGAUCCAAGUGGCUGUUGUGAUUGACCAGCAUCAAUCAUUUGACUUGGUGCUGAUACAAUGUAUGAUAUUGGUGCAGACACAUGAUUUUUCAAUAUGGCAAUGUGAGACUCUUCCAGGUUAAUUUUUCUACAAAUCAAUAUUUUUAUACCAAAUUGAAAUAUCAUGUGUAUAUACAUUUUCAAUGAAAUGUUUGUCUUGUUCAAUUAGUCAUUUACUAAAGACACAUAACAACACCCCACCCCCACCCUGGACAUUAUAUUGUUCCUGUUAUUUUCAUAUGGAAAGUUCAGGAUUUAUUUUACGGUAGUAUUCAAUGGCUUUGGAAAUGAAGUUUGAAUUGAACACAUAAAAUAAAUGUUGUUUUUCUUAUUAAGCCUACUUCUCUGCCCCUCACCCUUUACAAAGUGAUGCUAUGUGCAUGUAUUAACCAGUGUUUAUAUAAACUGAAAAUGUGAUUACAUGUGAUAUUAAUAACUGGUAUCAACCAGUGUGUAUAUAAACUGAAGAUUUUAUUACGUGAUGUUGAGUAUAAACUUGUGUACUAACAUAGACAACUACCCCCCCCCCCCCCUCCUUUUUUCAGGGGGAGGGGGUAAUUUCUCAUCGAUUUGUGUGGAUUCCCCAUCUAUUGCAUCCCAAUUUUGAUUUAUGUAAUUGUUUCACUGUAGAAGGCCAAUCUCUUAAACAUUUAUAUAUAGAACAGCUAAAAGGUUAAUCUCUUAAACUAUACAGGUAGAAAGCAUGCAAUCUCUAAAGCUUACAAAAAGAGUGAAACGAAUACAUAAAUCACAAUUGGUAUGAGAUAGACAGGGAAUCCAAACAAUUCAGAGAUUGUCGGCGCAAAAAAAAUCAGAAGGAAGGGGGGGGGGGUAUACUGUCUGUGUGCACUGAUACUAUAUGUA